UAACGCGUGGGUAACCUGGCCCAUACGGGGGGAUAACACUUAGAAAUAGGUGCUAAUACCGCAUAACAACAGAAAGCGCAUGCUUUUUGUUUGAAAACCAAGGUGGUAUGGGAUGGACCCGCGUCUGAUUAGCUGGUUGGCGGGGUAAAGGCCCACCAAGGCGACGAUCAGUAGCCGGCCUGAGAGGGUGGACGGCCACAUUGGGACUGAGACACGGCCCAAACUCCUACGGGAGGCAGCAGUGGGGAAUAUUGCACAAUGGGGGAAACCCUGAUGCAGCGACGCCGCGUGAGUGAAGAAGUAAUUCGUUAUGUAAAGCUCUAUCAGCAGGGAAGAAAAUGACGGUACCUGAGUAAGAAGCCCCGGCUAACUACGUGCCAGCAGCCGCGGUAAUACGUAGGGGGCAAGCGUUAUCCGGAUUUACUGGGUGUAAAGGGAGCGUAGACGGCAGUGCAAGUCUGGAGUGAAAGGCGGGGGCUCAACCCCCGGACUGCUCUGGAAACUGUACGGCUGGAGUGCAGGAGAGGUAAGUGGAAUUCCUAGUGUAGCGGUGAAAUGCGUAGAUAUUAGGAGGAACACCAGUGGCGAAGGCGGCUUACUGGACUGUAACUGACGUUGAGGCUCGAAAGCGUGGGGAGCAAACAGGAUUAGAUACCCUGGUAGUCCACGCCGUAAACGAUGAUCACUAGGUGU
RNAcentral lists this ribosomal RNA (693 nucleotides) under uncultured bacterium. RNAcentral describes it as "bacterial SSU rRNA". It matches the Rfam family "Bacterial small subunit ribosomal RNA", at positions 111 to 823 of the family's 1533-position model. The record is from RNAcentral.